Urocitellus parryii (Arctic ground squirrel) is the source of this 355-nucleotide long non-coding RNA. RefSeq lists it as uncharacterized. Lineage: Eukaryota; Metazoa; Chordata; Mammalia; Rodentia; Sciuridae. The record is from RefSeq and is a predicted model, not a curated record.
CUAGGAUCCUAAGAUCUGUUUCUUCAUAUCCAAUUCCUCACUGAGACUUCUUUCUGAAAGUAUAUCAAGCUAGCCCAACUGCUGGGUCUCUCUUGUGAGGACUGUACUGCAGCUAUCACAGACUUUGCCUCAUAACAAACUCAGAACUGACUGGUGAACAAGGCUUCUCAAGAAUUAAUGGGUUCGGCUUCUUUCAUUCCAACAUUUAAUAAUGACACACUCUGCAUGGCUUUUCUUUGUGACCUGUCCUCUAUUUUUUUCUUUCCAAUAUUCUGACUUGUAUCAACAGUACUUUAACUACUGACCAAAAGGAGGGCAUAGCAAAUGUUAUUUAUUUUAUUUUAUUUUAUUUAAG